AACAACGAAUUGGCUAUGGUCUAUCAUAAAUUAGUCUUUUAGGAAUUUUCGAAGUGAAACUAUUCCAUUCUCUCGAUUUCCGGCCUUCUCUCAGCUCGAUCACCCAUGUCGAGGGUUUACAAUGUAGUCUUUGUCUAUUUAUAUAAGUGUACGCACAGAUGAUGUUUGAAUUUCGCUCUUAAUUUAUGACGGUCGAUACAAAAGGUCCUCGAAGAACAUUCAAGACAUAUCGAUACAACAGACUAUCUAUAAAUAUUCCCAUGGCAGUGUCGCCAUAACACUCUAACCAUAUUCACGUGAUAACAUUUCACGUUACACCUUCCCCCUUAUACAAAAAGGUGUUUACAUAAAACAGCUUUUUCAUUCAUAACAUUUCUCUCUCUAAUAACGUGAAAGAAAGUCUGUAUCAACUAAUUCAUUCCAAAGUCACGUGCCGUACAACUUCAAUAGCCCAUUCAAUAGUUCGUAAUUUCGCACACAUCAUGAUCCGUAUAUGUAAACAUACAACAAAUAGUAAUUCUUCCAUAUAUUAUCAAUUGUCUCUGGAUUAUUCGUAAGCCUUAAUAUUAGUAGAAUAUAAGCACAAGCUUACAAGGCAUCAACGAUUCGCAGAAAUCUAAUUCAGUCUUCGGUUGGAUCGUCCAGCCAUAUACACGCCACUUUUAGUUUAUUGGGACCCAGCCAGUCGCAGUCAAAUUUGAAAGUUCUAGGCUCUUUGAAUUUCGUGCAGCCAUAGCCUGUGUGGUGGUGAUUUUAGUAAAAAGCUCAUUAAAAUGCUGUGCAAAAGUUCGAGGCGUUUGCCCCUUGUCAAAUUCGGAAGGUAUGUUGGCUUUAACACCAAAAACUAAUUGAUGAGGGGUAAACCCAGUGCCCUCAUGUACAGAAGUAUUGCACGAAAAAAUACAAAAACGUAUCCAAUCAUCCCAAUCCGUCUUUGUGCAGUAGUGUUUGAGAUAAUUAAUAAAACUACGGUGUGCCCUUUCAAGAGAACCCAACGACUGAGGAUGAAAAGCCGUGGAUGUUAUUCGCUGUAUUUUGAAAAUCCUACAGAAAUUCUUCAUUACCUGAUUAAUGAAGUUCCUCCCUUGAUCAGUAUGGAUAACCCGUGGGCAUCCAAAUCUACUGAUAAACUGUUCGGCAAGAGCAUGAGCAACGGUUACUGUAUCUAUGGUUUUUAAUGGAAUUGCAUCAGAAUAUUUAGUCAAAUUAUCUUGCAGACAGUAUAAUUUUUAUUUUUCUGACAAAGAGGACAGGUGCGAUCGAAUUCUGUAAUCUCCUUUGCCAUACCCGGCCAAUAAAACCGUUCGUGAAUAAGUUGGUGCAAUUUAAAAACACCCCUAUGACCUCCAAUUGCAGAUUCAUGAUGCUCCUGAAUGAUUUGAGAAUGACUAGAUUCCGGUGGAACUACAAUUUCUCCAGUGCACAAGGGUUGAAUCUGUCCGGAUCUAUCAAGAUACUAAACGUUUUCGUAUCCAAGAACAAAAAGAAGACGGAGUGUUUAUCGUGCGGAAAAGCCAUGGCAUUGCCGAUUUCAAAUUGAUAUUGUUGCACUUCCUCUACUGAGAAUCCAAUUCGGUUUAACAAACCCAUAGUGGUUUGAGAUGUGUCCAUACAAUUUAAAGGAAUAAAAUGAACGAGAUUGUCUUGCCACAUGAAAAGGUUGUCCUUUACAUCGUGAAUAGUAGUAUCUGAAGGCGGCACCCCACCUGUACAGGCGAGCACCCCUUCCAAACGUUGUAAAUCCAAAUUAGAAUCAGUGUCAGACCGUAUGGGUUUUGGUUGAGGAACAGGAUUUAUGCAGGUUUCUACGGGGUUUCGUGAUAGUACAUCGGCGUUGACGUUAACCUUUCCAGAUGUUGGAUCCUUGACAUUGUGUAACCAUACUAAGGGUCUAUGGUCAGUGAGCAAUGUAAAUUGUCGGCCAUAAAGUGAUCUGGAGGCAUACGCGACUGGGAGAUCUUUUCCCACUGGUCCCUCGCUAAGGAUGACGCCAAUAGCAUAAUUAGAAGCAUCCGUAGCAACGAGGAAUGACUGUGAAAAAUUCGGGAACUGCAAUAGAGGUUCCGCACAGAUAAUAUCUCUUAAGGUUUCGAAGGAAGUUUGCACGUCAGCUGUCCAACGAAAAGGCUGAAGGGUCAAUCCAGCGUUUUGUAACCGAGCUAAAAGGGUUCUCAACUUACGCCCAUGCUCUUCGAUGGAGGCUGCAUAAAUGACAAUAUCGUCCAUAUAAACCAGAAGCUCGAUGCCCUGCAACCCGGAUAGUAUCAAGUCCAUAACCCUUUGAAAAGUGGCUGGAGCAUUCUUAAAACCAAAGGGCAUUCUGUUGAACUCAUAAUGACCGUGAGGGGUAGAAAAGGCCGUUUUAGACUUCGAUGCAGGAUCUACAGGAAUCUGGUGGAAACCAGAAGCUAAAUCGAGAGUGCUGAAAUAUUUCGCCCCUCCUAACUGAUUCAAAAUUUCGGUAAAAUUUGGAAGAGGAAGAACCAGGUUUUUUCGGGACUACUCAUACAGGUGAAUUGUAAGGGGAUACCGACGGCUGGAUAAUUUUGUCCUUAAGCAAGGAAUCUACCUGAGUUUCUAUUUCAUUUUUAUGGAUCGGAGGGUACCUAUACUGCUUGAUACUGGCCUUUUCCCCUUCUUGAAGGUGACUCAGAUCCAAGUAAUUAAGCAGUGCACUAAAUCUUUGAGCCUGAUCUGCUGAUCUAUUUGCGUUCGGAUUUCCCGUUCGAGAAGAACGCGAUGCAGGAUGUUUCAGUUCAAAAUCUUCCAAUUUAACCUGCGGUAUUAUACCAGGACCAGCAUCAAUUCUCCUAACGUAACCCGAUGUAAUAUCACCCUUCGUUGGGACAGAAAUCAAAACUUUAUUCCGAGGAGGCAACUCAUAUGAUGAGAAAAUGGGAGUGCGCAAAUUUUCAUCACCAAAUUCCACAAGACAUGGAAAAUUUUCUCCAAACCUCAGUGUAGCCCUUUGCUUUUCCAAAAAUGACGUCCCUAAAAUUCCGGCCUCCCUAACAGGAAAGUCAUCUUCCACCACCUAAAAAUGUACAGGGAUGCCAUGCACACUAAGAACUACAUCACCCCAUGUCUUGACUAUACCUGCACUAAUGCCGGUUAAGUUGCGAGCCGGUGUCUACAAGGAAUUUAGCGAGACCAUUCCGAAAAUGUUCGUGUUCUAAAGAAAUAUAUGGCGAUUGUCUGAUCUGCUUUAAACUGGUUUCGCGGCCAACGCGGUGGAUCCGGCGCGAGAGAUAAGGGGUUCCCUCCGUGCUGUACCCGUCGACGAAACUCCCUUUGAGUUUAAAGGAUUUUCCUGCUGCCUAGAAGUUGAAGGAAUUGGUGAUUGCGGUUUCCUCCAAACACGGACUUGCAUUACCUGCUAUACUUCUAUAAAUGUGCUGCUGCGUCCGACUUUGGAUCAGCACGAGCAAAUAGACUUUAUCACCCAGUUUGACCAAAGAAUCAGCGAGUCGACACUGUGCAAUAAAGUGAUUUACUGAGGACGAUUUACCAUCAAAAUGAGCCGAAGGUUGCGAUGAAGGUUGAGCAGGUGCUACGUUGGAAACAUUUAAUUGAUUGCCAACACCGGGUGAAGAGAAAAGAAUCGCAUUAGAAGUUGUUGCCCCAAAUGAAACUGGCGUAUUAUUUACCGUGCUACUAGCAGGAUUUGGCACACCACCCGUCGCACCCCAGCUCUAUAUAGUAGAUUGUUCGGGGACAAGAAGUGACUCCUGCAACUGAGUUUCAGUAUUAUGCAAGGAAAAAGAAGACCCUAUGCUAGGUGUACGACUCCGUCCGUCGACGACCCGUUGAUCCGGUUGACCUCGGCUUACGAGAAGAACCCUCAGUACUCCGGCUCGAUGGUCCCCAAUUCAGCAGCAGGUACUCCAGUAAAAUUUGUCCGCAGUCAGCUGCUUCAGGAAUAAUGCAACGAUGACAUGGACGAGGUGCGCGUGAUUUCGGUGGAUGGCUUGCACGGCAGCCGAAAUCACCUGCCUCCGGUAUUUACCCUUCUGUAACGACCCAGUGAUAGGUACGUCACUGCACCGACGUAUAGGGAGAGCGGUUCCCCAAGA
Long non-coding RNA from Osmia lignaria (orchard mason bee), 4073 nucleotides. RefSeq lists it as uncharacterized. The record is from RefSeq and is a predicted model, not a curated record. NCBI's taxonomy places the organism in Eukaryota, Metazoa, Arthropoda, Insecta, Hymenoptera, Megachilidae.